RNAcentral lists this ribosomal RNA (482 nucleotides) under uncultured Aquimarina sp. Its description in RNAcentral is "bacterial SSU rRNA". It matches the Rfam family "Bacterial small subunit ribosomal RNA", at positions 28 to 505 of the family's 1533-position model. The record is from RNAcentral. Lineage: Bacteria; Pseudomonadati; Bacteroidota; Flavobacteriia; Flavobacteriales; Flavobacteriaceae.
GAUGAACGCUAGCGGCAGGCUUAACACAUGCAAGUCGAGGGGCAGCAUUGGUACUUGUAUCAGAUGGCGACCGGCGCACGGGUGCGUAACGCGUAUAGAACCUACCUUUUACUAUGGGAUAGCCCGAAGAAAUUUGGAUUAAUACCGUAUGAUAAUUUAGAUCGUCAUCGAUUUAGAUUUAAAGAUUUAUCGGUAAGAGAUGGCUAUGCGUUCUAUUAGCUAGUCGGUGAGGUAACGGCUUACCGAGGCUACGAUAGAUAGGGGUCCUGAGAGGGAGAUCCCCCACACUGGUACUGAGACACGGACCAGACUCCUACGGGAGGCAGCAGUGAGGAAUAUUGGACAAUGGAGGCAACUCUGAUCCAGCCAUGCCGCGUGUAGGAAGACUGCCCUAUGGGUUGUAAACUACUUUUAUAGAGGAAGAAUAGGUAUUACGUGUAAUAUUUUGACGGUACUCUACGAAUAAGGAUCGGCUAACUCCG